UACAGAGGGUGCAAGCGUUAAUCGGAAUUACUGGGCGUAAAGCGCGCGUAGGUGGUUGAUUAAGUUGGAUGUGAAAUCCCCGGGCUUAACCUGGGUCGGUCAUCCAAAACUGAUCAACUAGAGUAUGGUAGAGGGUAGUGGAAUUCCUAGUGUAGCGGUGAAAUGCGUAGAUAUUAGGAGGAACACCAGUGGCGAAGGCGACUGCCUGGACUGAUACUGACACUGAGGUGCGAAAGCGUGGGGAGCGAACAGG
Molecule: ribosomal RNA, 253 nt
Filed under: uncultured bacterium
Lineage: Bacteria
Description: partial 16S ribosomal RNA
Rfam family: Bacterial small subunit ribosomal RNA
Source: RNAcentral